AGAGAGAUUGGUAUACUGAAAUGUGUUGAAUCGUCGGUUCCAUACAUCUUUGAGUUUUUAUUGCUGCAUUGGACCAUCUGCAUUGCAGUUGAUCUAUUCAAAUUCCAAAAAGCAUUGCACGAAACAACUGAGAUAUAUUUGUACCCAUUUAUACCUUGUUACUUUUGAAAUGUUAACGUAAGUCCUUGGUGAAAGAAAAAUUAAAGCAUGUAAAUGUACAUGGCCUGUACCUAUAGAUGGAGAAAGAGGUUUGUCCUAAAUUGAAUUUGGGCAUGGGCAUGUGGAUGCUUAUUUCUUUCUCAUGAGAGGCACUUAUAGAAUUAUACCUACCGCUGUGUACCUGAGUCGAUAUGGCUCAUGAAGAUCAAUAUAUAUGUGGACCAAAGCAAUACCCACACACAUGCAUAGACACCAUAUAUGUACAUAGACAUUGUGCCUUAG
Molecule: long non-coding RNA, 441 nt
Filed under: Sorghum bicolor (sorghum)
Lineage: Eukaryota; Viridiplantae; Streptophyta; Magnoliopsida; Poales; Poaceae
Description: long non-coding RNA (SBIC_LNC009659)
Source: RNAcentral